UAAAUGACAGCUCGUUCUCCAUGAAUUCAUUUGUGCCCCGUUUGCUGGUGGGGUUGAUCGGGCUGUUUUUUUUUAAUACAGCUGUGCUAGACUGGGUGUUGUGAGGUACCGUUGGAGAAUUUUAUUAAGUGAGACGGAACUAUUAAUCGGAAUACAUCUGCCAUCACUAAAUCAAUAUUCGAACGGCUAUAUUGGCAGUGCUUAGUGCGUACUAAGGUGUGGACUGCGUAGCCCGCGCCCCCCACCCCCCGCUAACUGCACACCGCCUAUUUCGUAAAUGAAGUUGUGGAUAUGGUCCUGCGGGCAAGCUUUAGACAAAGAUUAGUCACGAUCUGCUAAAUAUAACUGGACGAUUUAAGUAAACGAUAGCGACCAUUACGACUUAAAUAAAACAAGAUUCCUGAGUCAGUUUGCGCAUAACAUGCGCAACCCUGCUUGUUCAGAUAAAACCGUCGCCAUUAUGAAGACAUGAUUGACAUUCUUAUAUUUAUUUCUUAAUGGUCAACUGAAUUGAUAAGCGCUGUCUAUUGUUUUUACUGAACUGGUAUAUGCAAACGGCAGAAUUAUAGAAGAAGUCGCCACCUCAAUUCCAGUAUAUAAUCCAGGCAGUUUUCUUAAAAAAAUUACCAUCGGCAAGAAAAUGGCCAUUUGUAAAACCUUGUAAUUUAAUAUGUGUUUCCUCGGAAUAACAAGGAUGAUUCAGAUGAUUAAUUGGGACAUCAGUUAUAAAACCGGACUAUGCCGUAAAUCACUACUAAGGACUUCAAACAAUUUAUGCGUCGAGCAACAUUUUAUACAAAAAUUUAAUGAAAAACUACUCCAAUAAAAAUGAUGCUACGAUCAACUGUUAUCAUAUGCAUCAUGAUGUCUUACCCUUUUGCUUGCUCAGAAGAUUUAACCAAUUUAUUGUAGCGCUAAAAUUUGUCAUGUAUUCCUCUUGGACAAAAAAGAAAUUUCAAUAAAUUCGAAUAUACCGUUAACCCAUAAAAAGUCUACCAGGCACCUUCAGACGCGUUUGAGAUAACAUCGGACUGCAGAGUUAUUUAUGCAAGAAAGAGUUUCGAGAUGAAAAAAUUGUUCCAACGGAAAAAUGAAAAAACCGAAUCCAAAGAGGGUGUGGGGGGCAGUUUUGUGGGGAAAACCUUUCAAGUUGGACGGACGGCCGUACAAGUCGAGGAUGUCAUCGCCGAAGGUGGUUUUGCUCUCGUGUUCCUUGUGAAGGGUUCUGGCGGUGUUCGUUACGCCUUAAAAAGAAUAUUUGUAAAUAACGACCACGAUCUCGCUUGUUGCAAGCGUGAGAUCCAGAUCGCGUCCAGCCUUUCGGGACAUAAAAAUAUCAUAGGCUUCGUGGACAGCAGUAUUACUAGUGUUGGCAAUGGAGUGUAUGAAGUGCUGCUGCUGAUGCAUCUUUAUAAAGGCCACGUAUUACAGCAGAUGAAUGAUCGAGUUGCAGCAGGUCAGACCUUUUCGCAGCAAAAGGUGCUAAGGAUAUUCUGUGACGUCUGUGAAGCUGUAUCACGAUUACACCAUUGUCAGACGCCAAUCGUACAUAGAGACCUAAAAGUCGAGAACAUUCUAGUAGCGACAAACAAUAGCGGAAGCACCGAUGGACCUCCGGAGACGUACGUUUUAUGCGAUUUUGGAUCAGCUACGGCCAAAAUGCUCAACCCCAACAAACAUUCCGUCGCUCAGAUCGAAGAAGAGAUCAACCGAUACACGACUUUGGCCUAUAGAGCGCCCGAAAUGAUAGAUUUCUAUGGAGGUCGAGUUAUUUCCACCGCGGCAGAUAUCUGGGCCCUUGGUUGCCUGUUAUACAAACUUUGUUUUUUCACUACCCCGUUUGGAGAGAGUGCACUUGCGAUUGCUUCCGGACAGUUCACGAUACCUUCAACAUCCACGUACACGGCACAGCUGCACCAACUUAUCCGAUAUUGCCUUGAAGUGGACCCCGAAGCUCGGCCCGACAUAUACCAGGUAUCGUAUGUGGCGUUUAGUCUUGCUGGUCGUGAAUGCCCAGUUCGUAACCUCAGCAAAUCUCUCAAGCCCGACCUAGAAAAAAUGCCGCAUAUCACCGAGGCUAUCACACACAGUGCUGAUCGUGCCGGUUUGCUGGUUACACCAACUCCUGGGAUAUCCACCUCGCCUCAACCAAAGGCAUCCACUCCCCGUACCGAUAGAUGUACAUUGCGUGAAACCACAUCAGUUACAUCGUCGUCCCUAUCAGGCACCUCGGUAGCUCCACGUCAGAGGCCCAAGGGUCACACUUCCUCUGCUGGCCGCGAACGCUUACUACCCCAAAUUUCUAGUUUGCCUCUGUUGGCUCCAGCAGGGCAGCAGGGCAUUAGUGGAGUUGGUGACAGCAGAUCUGAAACAGUUAGUCCAGGAUCACAAGCAGCAGGAUCGGUAGGACAAAUUUCAGCUAUCCAACGCGUAAGUCCUAGCAUCGUUAUAAAUUCAGAGAGCGAAGAUAUAUGUCAUAAGGCAUCAAAUGAGACUCAGUGGACGGAAACAGCAACGCUAUCUUUGAAUCAACUAGAAAUCACUGUGGAUGAAUCAACUUCGAGAACUGCUGGAUGGAACCCCUUUGCUGACGAUACGUUUGUCCCUCCUCAAGAUCUAGAAAAUGCAGUUACCACAAUCCUAAAUCACGACGAACGAGAUCUAGCUGUAACAAAGGCAGUUAAUUCUUUGGCUGUAACUAAUGUUAACGAGGAAGGAGACGCUUUUGGUCAGGCUUUCGACGCUUUGCGGGAUCCAAGCGGUCCAGCUUUAGUACAUCAUUCAAAAUCAAACGUUACUGUUGCUUUGACGUUAUCAACUGAUAGUGACAACGCGAGCCAAAUGGUCGAUCCGUUUGGUGCUGCGCCCUUUAAUAAAACUAUUGCAGCCUCGGUGAAGAAGCGGCAGCAUGGACGCGACAUAAAGGCUUACGAUGCAGCGCGCCAAAAUGAUGAACGGCAGCAGCAGAAAUCACCCAACAAAGAGUUUAAAGACAUCGAUGUGUUUGAUGAUGUCUCACAAGGGUUACGCACGGCUAAUGAUAAUACGGCUAGAUCUAAUGACCUGGAAGAACGCGAGGCGGGGUCUUCAGAUAACUUCCAAGCCGUGGGACUUCUGGAGAUUGAUUCGGUUGGUGCAUCACUUGAUAUACGAUGCCUUGACCACCAACAUGCUCACCAAUCUCAUCACAGGAAUAUAUGUAAAGCUACGACCGUUCUCAUAAAAGACUGUCACAGUGGCAAUCUUAGCGAUCGACCGAUUGAGUCUGAUGGUAGCACUCCUUUACUGGAUGACUUAGAGGACACUCAAGGACAUCCAGGUCGUCUACAUCGUGACAAUAUUCAGACAACAGACGACUGUGAUGUUUUUGCUGCUGCUCCUUUUCCAAAACUAAAACGUAAACCCAUAAACUUCGGACGACAAGCUAAGGACGGAGACGAUCGAAGCAUAAACAGUAAUCCAUUUUUAAGUACGAGUGCCAGUGCGGAUCCGAAAGAAGCAUUCUCCGCUUCUAAUCAAGGUCAUUUUAUAAGGCGUCACGCACUAGGAGGCCAUAAAGAGAAGCUAAACGAAAUUCUUAUAGAGGUGGAACGAGAUUCAACUAUAGCGUUGGAUUCCGCCAGGCAGUCAGCAACAAUUGGUACAGGACUAUUACGCUUUUCGAAUACUAACGCUGUACUCUUCAAGGACCCGUCACUGGUGUCGUCUAGCGGAGGUGCGGUUGUUAUUCCUGUCGGGGGAGGAGCCAAAGAAAACGCAGGCGUCAAGAGCGAUACACUUAAGGAGAUACGAAAAGGCCCGACGACUGUUGUCACACUCAACGAUAGCAAAGCCAGCCCAAAACAAGGACGAAAGUUCGAGGCAGGUCCGCAAGUGGCGUUGGGUGUGAAUGCUGAAUCAUUUGGCGACGUAUCACCCCGAUAUGGGUGUUCGGGUAUAGGCAAAGGAAACAGAAAGGACAUCAAAGAUCAUCCUAGCCUAGAAAACGAGUUGUUGCUUGUCUCCUCUCCCCUCGUACAGCCAACAGGAUCACAAAAUCUUUUAGGAAGCCGGUGUAAGAACCAAAAACGUCAGAACAUCAUAAAGAUAUAAAACACUUGCAAGAGGCAAAAGCACCUGUUCUGUAUCGGAGGCAACAGCGCCUGGAGCUCGUAGCAAGAGGCUGGACUAAGAAGUUUACAGUUAAUUGCCCAACGUCACAGAUUAGCGACGUUCUGCCAUCAGAUUGCACCGUCGUAGCUUCGUGAGAAGAAAUAAUCGGCAACUAUUUCGUACGUUCCUCCCUUCGUUUGUUCUUAUGGUGAUUUAAAUAGGUUGUAAGGUAGCAGCCAUUUCCAUACAUUUGUGUUAUUGCUCCUUGUGCGUGCCAUGUUAAUGCAAAAUUCUGUUAAGUUAAUUUUUGGGACUCGCUGAAAAAAAUUAUUUUUUCUAAUAGAACCAGUUACCAGUUGAACAUAAACUUAUUGCUUAAUGACGAAGCUUACAUAAAUGUGACAUGAUAAACAUAACAUAAGAAAACAUAUAGUCCGGAAGAAUUUCUGCUUUGACCCUAUGUAAGUGCAGGCCAGUUAAUUGCCAAUAAAUUAUGGAAUAUAUGGAAACUCAAAAGAAUCCUUUCAAAACUAAGACUCUUUGUUCUCUUCAUAUGAUAAUGGCGAAAAUCCAAUCCGCGAAAUACCGAAACGUACUUCAUUUUUAAUGUCUAUCUCAGUCGAAGCAUCGUUUUACACACAACUUUAUAUUUCAUAAGAUGUUAUCUAUAACGUGAUCUCUACACACAUCUCGGAGUUUAGUGGGAUGAAUGAUGGCGUGCUCUUAUCGUAAAAAAUUAUUAUUUUAGCAAGCUCAGCAGUUCCUGAAACCUUCAUUUUGUGACGCUUAGUUUUCAUGAAAAUAGUAAUGAAAGAGAUAUAAGAUGAUAAAAAAAAGGUUCAUUUUACACGUUUUGUAUAGAAUUUAUCAUACGAUUAAUAUAUUGUCACCGUUAUUAUUUACAGUACGAAUAUUUUUUUUACAUGAUUACCCAAUUUAUAUUCUAUCCACGCGCUUUAGAAUUUCCUUCAUGAAUUCUUUCAAUAAAUCGACUAAUAGAAUUUAGCGAGUAAGGGACUUCAGUAUGAUAGUAAACAAAAAGGUAGAACCUAUCAAAGAAAUAGAUUCGUUGACAACCAAAAAAAUUUCGAACACAGUAGCGCAACGGUAAGCGGCGAAGAUAUCUUUGACAUCUUGAAAACGAGCAAUGCGUGUUUAUAUUUUACUUAAAUGACAAUUU
This is an RNA transcript of Varroa destructor (honeybee mite), 5272 nucleotides long. RefSeq lists it as uncharacterized. NCBI's taxonomy places the organism in Eukaryota, Metazoa, Arthropoda, Arachnida, Mesostigmata, Varroidae. The record is from RefSeq and is a predicted model, not a curated record.